This 73-nucleotide transfer RNA is filed under the name Paramuricea clavata. It matches the Rfam family "tRNA". From Rfam's summary of the family: Transfer RNA (tRNA) molecules are approximately 80 nucleotides in length. Their secondary structure includes four short double-helical elements and three loops (D, anti-codon, and T loops). Further hydrogen bonds mediate the characteristic L-shaped molecular structure. tRNAs have two regions of fundamental functional importance: the anti-codon, which is responsible for specific mRNA codon recognition, and the 3' end, to which the tRNAs corresponding amino acid is attached (by aminoacyl-tRNA synthetases). tRNAs cope with the degeneracy of the genetic code in two manners: having more than one tRNA (with a specific anti-codon) for a particular amino acid; and 'wobble' base-pairing, i.e. permitting non-standard base-pairing at the 3rd anti-codon position. Lineage: Eukaryota; Metazoa; Cnidaria; Anthozoa; Malacalcyonacea; Plexauridae. The record is from Rfam by way of RNAcentral.
GUCCGCGUAGCGCAGUUGGUAGAGCAUUGGGCUAGUAUUCCGAAGGUCGUAGGUUCGAUACCCACCGUGGCCA